GGGUUGUGAGGUUAAGCGACUAAGCGUACACGGUGGAUGCCCUGGCAGUCAGAGGCGAUGAAGGACGUGCUAAUCUGCGAAAAGCGUCGGUAAGGUGAUAUGAACCGUUAUAACCGGCGAUGUCCGAAUGGGGAAACCCAGUGCAAUUCGUUGCACUAUCGUUAACUGAAUACAUAGGUUAACGAGGCGAACCGGGGGAACUGAAACAUCUAAGUACCCCGAGGAAAAGAAAUCAACCGAGAUUCCCCCAGUAGCGGCGAGCGAACGGGGAGCAGCCCAGAGUCUGAAUCAGCUUGUGUGUUAGUGGAACGGUCUGGAAAGUCCGACGGUACAGGGUGAUAGUCCCGUACACCAAAAUGCACAGGUUGUGAACUCGAAGAGUAGGGCGGGACACGUGGUAUCCUGUCUGAAUAUGGGGGGACCAUCCUCCAAGGCUAAAUACUCCUGACUGACCGAUAGUGAACCAGUACCGUGAGGGAAAGGCGAAAAGAACCCCGGCGAGGGGAGUGAAAAAGAACCUGAAACCGUGUACGUACAAGCAGUGGGAGCACCUUCGGGUGUGACUGCGUACCUUUUGUAUAAUGGGUCAGCGACUUAUAUUCUGUAGCAAGGUUAACCGUAUAGGGGAGCCGCAGGGAAACCGAGUCUUAACUGGGCGUUAAGUUGCAGGGUAUAGACCCGAAACCCGGUGAUCUAGCCAUGGGCAGGUUGAAGGUUGGGUAACACUAACUGGAGGACCGAACCGACUAAUGUUGAAAAAUUAGCGGAUGACUUGUGGCUGGGGGUGAAAGGCCAAUCAAACCGGGAGAUAGCUGGUUCUCCCCGAAAGCUAUUUAGGUAGCGCCUCGUGAACUCAUCUUCGGGGGUAGAGCACUGUUUCGGCUAGGGGGUCAUCCCGACUUACCAACCCGAUGCAAACUACGAAUACCGAAGAAUGUUAUCACGGGAGACACACGGCGGGUGCUAACGUCCGUCGUGAAGAGGGAAACAACCCAGACCGCCAGCUAAGGUCCCAAAGUCAUGGUUAAGUGGGAAACGAUGUGGGAAGGCACAGACAGCCAGGAUGUUGGCUUAGAAGCAGCCAUCAUUUAAAGAAAGCGUAAUAGCUCACUGGUCGAGUCGGCCUGCGCGGAAGAUGUAACGGGGCUAAACCAUGCACCGAAGCUGCGGCAGCGACACUAUGUGUUGUUGGGUAGGGGAGCGUUCUGUAAGCCUGCGAAGGUGACCUGUGAGGGUUGCUGGAGGUAUCAGAAGUGCGAAUGCUGACAUAAGUAACGAUAAAGCGGGUGAAAAGCCCGCUCGCCGGAAGACCAAGGGUUCCUGUCCAACGUUAAUCGGGGCAGGGUGAGUCGACCCCUAAGGCGAGGCCGAAAGGCGUAGUCGAUGGGAAACAGGUUAAUAUUCCUGUACUUGGUGUUACUGCGAAGGGGGGACGGAGAAGGCUAUGUUAGCCGGGCGACGGUUGUCCCGGUUUAAGCAUGUAGGCUGGUUGUCCAGGCAAAUCCGGAUAAUCAAGGCUGAGGUGUGAUGACGAGGCACUACGGUGCUGAAGUAACAAAUGCCCUGCUUCCAGGAAAAGCCUCUAAGCAUCAGGUAACAUUGAAUCGUACCCCAAACCGACACAGGUGGUCAGGUAGAGAAUACCAAGGCGCUUGAGAGAACUCGGGUGAAGGAACUAGGCAAAAUGGUGCCGUAACUUCGGGAGAAGGCACGCUGGUGUGUAGGUGAAGUCCCUGCGGAUGGAGCUGAGACCAGUCGAAGAUACCAGCUGGCUGCAACUGUUUAUUAAAAACACAGCACUGUGCAAACACGAAAGUGGACGUAUACGGUGUGACGCCUGCCCGGUGCCGGAAGGUUAAUUGAUGGGGUUAUCCGUAAGGAGAAGCUCUUGAUCGAAGCCCCGGUAAACGGCGGCCGUAACUAUAACGGUCCUAAGGUAGCGAAAUUCCUUGUCGGGUAAGUUCCGACCUGCACGAAUGGCGUAAUGAUGGCCAGGCUGUCUCCACCCGAGACUCAGUGAAAUUGAACUCGCUGUGAAGAUGCAGUGUACCCGCGGCAAGACGGAAAGACCCCGUGAACCUUUACUAUAGCUUGACACUGAACAUUGAGCCUUGAUGUGUAGGAUAGGUGGGAGGCUUUGAAGCGUGGACGCCAGUCUGCGUGGAGCCAACCUUGAAAUACCACCCUUUAAUGUUUGAUGUUCUAACGUUGGCCCCUGACCGGGGUUGCGGACAGUGUCUGGUGGGUAGUUUGACUGGGGCGGUCUCCUCCCAAAGCGUAACGGAGGAGCACGAAGGUUAGCUAAUCCUGGUCGGACAUCAGGAGGUUAGUGCAAUGGCAUAAGCUAGCUUGACUGCGAGCGUGACGGCGCGAGCAGGUGCGAAAGCAGGUCAUAGUGAUCCGGUGGUUCUGAAUGGAAGGGCCAUCGCUCAACGGAUAAAAGGUACUCCGGGGAUAACAGGCUGAUACCGCCCAAGAGUUCAUAUCGACGGCGGUGUUUGGCACCUCGAUGUCGGCUCAUCACAUCCUGGGGCUGAAGUAGGUCCCAAGGGUAUGGCUGUUCGCCAUUUAAAGUGGUACGCGAGCUGGGUUUAGAACGUCGUGAGACAGUUCGGUCCCUAUCUGCCGUGGGCGCUGGAGAAUUGAGGGGGGCUGCUCCUAGUACGAGAGGACCGGAGUGGACGCAUCACUGGUGUUCGGGUUGUCAUGCCAAUGGCACUGCCCGGUAGCUAAAUGCGGAAGAGAUAAGUGCUGAAAGCAUCUAAGCACGAAACUUGCCCCGAGAUGAGUUCUCCCUGAGACUUUAAGUCUCCUGAAGGAACGUUGAAGACGACGACGUUGAUAGGCCGGGUGUGUAAGCGCAGCGAUGCGUUGAGCUAACCGGUACUAAUGAACCGUGAGGCUUAACCUUACAACGCCGAAG
Molecule: ribosomal RNA, 2923 nt
Filed under: Klebsiella pneumoniae
Lineage: Bacteria; Pseudomonadati; Pseudomonadota; Gammaproteobacteria; Enterobacterales; Enterobacteriaceae
Description: 23S ribosomal RNA
Rfam family: Bacterial large subunit ribosomal RNA
Source: RNAcentral